CAAUAGCGUAUAUUAAAGUUGUUGCAGUUAAAAAGCUCGUAGUUGGAUUUCUGGUCGGAAGCUCCUGUCCUCUGAUGAGCGUACAAGUGCGUCCUACCAUCCUUCUGUUAACCUUUAAGGCUUUCGCGGCUUUCUAGGGGCUCAGAUAUUUUACCUUGAGAAAAUUAGAGUGUUUCAGGCAGGCUAGCGCCGGAAUACAUUAGCAUGGAAUAAUGGAAUAGGACUUUUGCCUCUUCUGUUGGUCAUGAGGCUCGAGUAAUGAUUAAUAGGGAUAGUUGGGGGCAUUAGUACUUAACUGUCAGAGGUGAAAUUCUCGGAUUUGUUAAAGACUAACGUAUGCGAAAGCAUUUGCCAAGGAUGUUUUCAUUAA
Molecule: ribosomal RNA, 370 nt
Filed under: uncultured eukaryote
Lineage: Eukaryota
Description: partial 18S ribosomal RNA
Rfam family: Eukaryotic small subunit ribosomal RNA
Source: RNAcentral